Molecule: long non-coding RNA, 1611 nt
Organism: Sitophilus oryzae (rice weevil)
Lineage: Eukaryota; Metazoa; Arthropoda; Insecta; Coleoptera; Curculionidae
Exons: 4
Source: RefSeq, a predicted model, not a curated record
AACGUUGUCGGUGGUCGUUUUUCCGUUGUUAGAAGAAAGAUGGAAGAAAGUCCUUACGUCGUUGUUACAAUUUCCUGAUUUUUUAAUAGAAAAAGUGGUUUUUCUAUGCACUAUUUGAGUAUAUUCUUUUCCUUAAGGCAUGUUUAAUCUCCUAAAGAUGAGCGUUAUUAAUAAUACAUACCAGGAUUUAAAGACCAAUAAGACCAUCUAAAAGAAGAGACCUGCAGUGGGAUUCUGUAAGCUCCGUAGCCAGAAAUUUCCUGUCUAGGCUAUGCUAUUUGUAUACGAUUGAUGAGUCACUAGACAGGAAAUAUGUUUACAGAAUCGUUCCUCUGAGCUACCACUUGUAUAAUCAUGAUGUUUGGCUAUCACUCUGGUUUACAAGAUUGGUUUUACAUUAUCCAAUUAAAACAUUUGUACAACAAAUUACAUGGAUGUAUACAGUUCCAGAGCAGUACAUUUAUCCUUUUGAUGAAUAAUACAAACAAUUCAACCACCUUCAAGAUGCCAUUAGGUUGAUUAUAUUCAACAUGGAAUAGGAUGAAAUUCAUCAUUGAAGAGGAACUAAAUAAUUUGAGAUUUUGUACAACAAAUCGAUGGAUGUAUACAGUUCCAGGACAGUACAUUUUUCCUUUUCAUGAAUGUUACCAACAAAGGCAUUAGUACUUAAGUAUAUAUUUAAAAUUUUACUUCUUUUGGGUGAAUAUAUUUUUAUUGGUUUUUAAUCAGUGGAUUUUAUCAUUUAUUAAUUUAAUUAAGUUGGAAAAAAAUCCAUUGGGUACCUGAGUUAGUUUUUUUAUGGUUACUUAUUAUCAUAGAAAAAUUCAGAUCAACUAUUUUUAGUUUGAAACAAUUUUAAGGUUUUAGGCACAUCUUUUUCUUUUUGAUAGAAUACCUUCUACUUAGAACUUUACUCCAUGUUGUUUUUGGUUGACUUAUUUCUCUAUAAAGCUUGACUCCCAUAUUUUCUUGAUUAUAGGAAUAACAUCACCAUUUAUCAUUUCUAUAGAAUAUUCCAUUGAGUGUAUUUCUAUAGGUUUUAUUUGUUUGGUAAAUAUAUACCAUCUACUUAUGAUUUUAAUUCAUGUUGUUUAUGGUUAACAUUUAUUUCUCUACAAUAACUUGAUUCGCAUAUUUUUUCACUUUACGAAUAAUAUCAUUCAUUGAUUCUAUAAAAUAUUCCAUUGACUGUAUUUCUAUAAGUCUUCUUUUAUUUGUUUUUUUUUUUGGUGUCAUUCUUUUGUAUUUUUGGUUGGGUAAUUUCUUGUACAGAAUUUUAGUUUUGAUGGAUUCAUUUUUAUAUAAUUUUUCUCAGAUCUUAUGCCAUGAAUUGCUGUAAGCUUUCGGAUUCUGUUGGUUGGUUUGGUUUGCCUGUGUUUAAAUAUAAUUUUAACAUACAAUAACACACUUAAAAGUCUGAAAAUAAGGACUAAUUUCCUAUCAAUUCCUGGCGCAUUCGCCAUUUACUUAAAACCCCUGACAUCCACUUCUGGCUUUUCUAGCAUUUUUUCCAAAGAAUUUUCCUAAGUAAUAUCGACUCCAGAGUAUCGUAGCUAGCCUCCCCACAAAAGAGGAGACCCGGGUCACCCCCUAACCCUGAUGUUCGGCCAU